RNAcentral lists this long non-coding RNA (1069 nucleotides) under Ursus maritimus (polar bear). RNAcentral describes it as "lncRNA (ENSUMAG00000010160.1)". Lineage: Eukaryota; Metazoa; Chordata; Mammalia; Carnivora; Ursidae. The record is from RNAcentral.
CACCACUAGUUUUUCUUUCUCUCUCUCUCUCUUUUUUUUUUUUUAAGAUUUAUUUAUUUGAGAGUGAGAAACAGCGAGCACAAGCAGAGGGAGAAGCAGACCCCCUUGCUGAGCUGGGAGCCUGACGUGGGGCUCGAUCCCAGGACCUGGAGAUCGUGACCUGAGCCGAAGGCAGAUGCUUAACCAUCUGAGCCACCCAGGCGCCCCUCCCCCUUUUUUAAAGAUUUAUUUACUUAUUACCACUAGUUUCUUUAUAAGUAACACCACAGGCAACUCUGGCUGCAGGCGACUGACGCCGGACAAGACUGCUCGCACUGGGCCUUCGCUGCCCAGGAGACGGACCCAGACCUCCACCAGGGCCCGGCAGGGCUUGCCCACCAAGGCUCUGACAGGUCUGCUCCCUCCCGGAGCACCUCAGCGCCCCAGACGCGACGGCCUGUGGAGGCCGAGAGGGAUCCCCGCUCCGUGCGGCCCCUUGGCUCGGCCUGCCCAGCUCCCUGCGGCCCCCACAACGGGCGACCGGCUCGCCGAGGGCUGCAUCCAUCCCGCUCCGGCCGCACCCCCCAGCCGCACACGCAGGAACACCCACCUCCGGCCCACACCGCUGCCAAAGGAUCUCCCACUACUUCAGCUCUCCAAGAAAUUCCGGCAUCCAUCCACUCUCCUUACCCACUGCGUCCACCUACUCCAAAUUCUCAUUACCAUCCCCUGAACAGGGUGAAUGUACAGCCUUUCUCUAGAUACCUUCCUUUAAGCACCACUCGCCUGCCCGCCCAGCUGACGGAGCUGCUAUAGUCCUCUUCAAGCGCAGCUGCGAUCAAAAAUCUUCACUGGCUCCCUGUUGCCUGUCGGUUAAAGGCCAAAUUUAUUAACUUAGAUACAAAACUCUGACUUUAUUUUCUGUUGUUCCCCUUUCAUCCUCCCUUGUCCCUGGCAAACCAGACUGUAUGAAUUACCCCAUUACCUUUCUAAAGACUGCUUCCGUCUCUUUCUCCAUGGAAUACCCUUCCCUCCCCAUCUUCUUAGUAUGUUGAAAUUCUGUCCAUUCUUUAAAGCCAGAUAAAGUGAC